RNAcentral lists this ribosomal RNA (705 nucleotides) under uncultured bacterium. Its description in RNAcentral is "bacterial SSU rRNA". It matches the Rfam family "Bacterial small subunit ribosomal RNA", at positions 8 to 699 of the family's 1533-position model. The record is from RNAcentral.
AGAGUUUGAUCCUGGCUCAGAGCGAACGUUAGCGGCGGGCCUAACACAUGCAAGUCGAGCGAGAAAGGGACUUCGGUCCUGAGUAAAGCGGCGGACGGGUGAGAAAUACGUAGGUAACCUGCCUUUCAGUGGGGGACAACGGUCCGAAAGGACCGCUAAUACCGCAUACGUUGUCUGGGACUCUGGUCCUGGACAGGAAAGCCGGGGCAACCUGGCGCUGGAAGAGGGGCCUACGUCGCAUCAGCUAGUUGGUGGGGUAAUGGCCCACCAAGGCUAAGACGCGUAGCUGGUCUGAGAGGAUGAUCAGCCACACUGGGACUGAGACACGGCCCAGACUCCUACGGGAGGCAGCAGUGGGGAAUAUUGGACAAUGGGCGCAAGCCUGAUCCAGCCACGCCGCGUGAGUGAUGAAGGCCUUCGGGUCGUAAAGCUCUGUGGGGAGAGACGAACCGCCGCUGGCUAAUAUCCAGCGGCAUGACGGUACCUCCUUAGCAAGCACCGGCUAACUUCGUGCCAGCAGCCGCGGUAAUACGAAGGGUGCAAACGUUGCUCGGAAUCAUUGGGCGUAAAGCGCACGUAGGCGGCUUCGCAAGUCGGAUGUGAAAUCCCGUGGCUCAACCAUGGACGUGCAUCCGAAACUGCGAGGCUUGAGUAUGGAAGAGGGUCGCGGAAUUCCCGGUGUAGAGGUGAAAUUCGUAGAUAUCG